UCUAAUGUGACAGAUAAAUGUACUAAAUUUAAGAUUUAAUUAUGAAAAUUAUUCCUUUAGAA
This 62-nucleotide transfer RNA is filed under the name Mycopsylla proxima. RNAcentral describes it as "tRNA-Leu". The record is from RNAcentral. Lineage: Eukaryota; Metazoa; Arthropoda; Insecta; Hemiptera; Carsidaridae.